CCUAUACGAAAUGUUAAGCUUAAAUCUUUCCAAAACAUGCUUAGCAGGAUAAAUUCUCUUAAGUAUUUUGUAAGACACUUCAGCGGCUCUGAACGUUGUAUGUCCAGUGAUGGAGCUGAAGAGGUCAUCCUCAAGACAACAUUCGAUUGGUCCUUCGAAACGCCAUACGUCAUCUCUGCCCCCCACCGCGGAAGCGCGCACGCUCUGGAAUGUUAUUUAUGGCAGGCGCGCUCCCGCGGACUGCACCGUUAUUAUCCGACGAGCGCCCGACACCGAAACUACAAUGUCAAGCAUUAACGGGACCCCGAGCUCUUCCACGUUCAAGGAUCCGUCCUGAUCUCUUAAUAUACGCGCAAAGUCUACGAACAAUCAGAUGAUAUUUCUGGAAACAAAAGAUUGAGAUGAUGCAUCAUCUUUCAGACAAGGUGGAAGUGUGAGUGAGUCAGGAGAGAUGGAGGUGAUUAGAAGAAAAGGCUCCGACUCAAACGGCCUCUUCUCAGACCACCCGAACAAUGACUGUGAGGACAUGGGGGCUUGUGGGCAGACGACUGGAGUGUGUUUGUGUGAAAAUACCCCCUUUACCACCUUCUGUGAUCAGCACCCACAGGAGGACUCCAGUGUGAAGUGUGUUCGGUGCGGUAAGAACAGACCCAUGAUCACCAGAUACUCAGAGGGUUACGGCACAGAGGAAGAGUGUGUCCAGCCUCAUCUUCAGGGAGACAGCGACGCAGACGCAGACAUCGAGGACACGGACAGCAGGCUCCAGAUCGUGGGUCCCCUUCAGCGAAUCAGCUCCCGGAAGAGAAAGCGCCAGCGAAUCACACGGCAGGACACAACGGAGAGUGAAGACGAUGGUGGGCGGAGCCACAGGACGCACCGCUGGAGUCUACGGCUCAGUCCUCAUCGCACACAUAACAGAACCAUACUGGAGGAGAGCAUUUCUCAGGUGCGGCCGCUGGUAAUCUGCCGCUGUGCAGCACGAGAGACUCAGACCAUCACAGAUGACAAACCCGACGGUGGAAAAUGGCCCCUGACAGUGUUUCCUGUCCCUCUUUCUCUCCCUGUGUCCUGUUAUCUGCUCAUUGUCCCUCUCUCCGUAUGCAUUAUCAUUGUUCUCGUGUCAUUCCUCCUACCGCUCACAGAUACUUGACAUUGCCUUAAACAUCACUGCAUGACCCUCUUCACCAUAUGAAUCAAUUCAUUAGACCCUUUUAUACAGUGUCAUCUACAGAAGCCUAUUUUUUCCACAUGAGUAAAAAUGCUUUGGUAAAUCAUUAUGACAUAAAAAGUCCAAAUUUUGAAGCAUUAUGUCAUAAGGGGAUAAAAAAAGACAUAAUUGUGACAUACGGUACCAAGUCACAAUGUAUGUAUGUAUAUAUAUAUAUAUAUAUAUACAUAUAUACACACACACAUACAUACAUACUAAUUGUGACUAAGUCAUAGUUUUGAGAUAAAAGGUAACAUUUUGAACACUCAAUUAUGAGAUAAAAUAAUGACACAAAUCAUGACAGUCAUUAUGAGAUAAAAAGUCUAAACUAUAAUACUGUCACAUUUAUGAGAUUAAAGUCAAAGAAAUUGAAAUGCUAUUAUGUCUAUAAAGUCUAUUAUGAGAUAGAAAGCAAAAUGUGGAACACUAAGUCAUAAUUGAGAUAAAUAUUUCAAAUAAUUACACACACACACACACAAAACAAUGACAUACUAGGUCAUUAUGAGAUAAGUCAAAAUUAUGAGAUAAAGUCAUUAUUUCCUUCAAAAUUAUGGCUUAGUAUGGCAUUAUUUAAACUUUUUAUGUCACAAUUAUGACAUUAUUUUAUGUGGUGUAAAUGGGCUCCUGUAGCUGUUGGACACCAAAGACAUUCAGUUUAUUGACAAAAAAAGCACAUUUGGAUGCACAACGUGACCGGGGGUGUAAAAUUACAGUGAUACUGUACUUAAGUGAGGGAAUACGAUGUCAAAAAGAUGUUUCCACAUUUAACCGUAUUUAAACAAAGUAUAUAUAGAUAUAGAUAGAUAAAUAUAGAUAUAGAUAUAUAUUAACUAAGGCAUCUCUUCGCAAGGACAAAUGACUGCAAUUGUGUUCAAUUACAUUUCACAUUGAAAUGGAUGUCAUUGAUUGUUCAUAAAAAAGCACGAGAGCUCAAUUUGAUUGGCUUAACAGCUUAGUAAGAUAAAAACACUAUAGGCUUAUAUUUUGUACAAUAGGAAAUAUUUAAAUAAUAAUGCACUUGUUUCUUUGAAAUGUGGAGCAGUUUCUCCCUUUGAGAUAAGUAACUGAGUAAAAGUUUCAGUUUCAAAAUCUCUCAAUCAAAGACCAUAUUCCCAAAUGAAUACUUAAGUAUAUUAAUGACGUGUAAUGAGGUACUUUAACACCCCUGCAUGUGCUACUUGAAAGAUCUUUGUUGUAUGAUUAAUCAGAUUUCAACAUAAAUGCGUUUCUUUUUGCAGUUUUUACAGUUGACAUGAAAUGCAUUCACAGUCUGUUUUACUUCUUAGAGCAGGACUUGAUUUUAUUCAUCAGAGUUUGAUGUGAUGGUGUAAAGUGGGUGUUCAGUGAGUCUGAAGAGGUUUUUUUGACCUGGAACAUGGAAGGUCAUGUUCACCCUCAUCUGCUAUUAUUGCCAAAACCUUUAGUACAUUAACAAGCAUUGAAUGACUUCACAAAGACUUUAGAAAGCAGCUGAAUAUCUAUCUGACAGCCUUGAUGUCAAGUGUAAAAGAAAGUCAUUUCAGAGACGAAGAAAAUUAAAUGAAAGAUAAAAAGCGUGGACAAUAAGAUGAGGAAAGAGGCUUUUAUGUUGACUUGAACAUCAGUAAAAGCAGCUCAGAUCCACAUCAUCAUGAAGUGAAUCGCUCCUCAUGUCUGUUGAACCUCUGCACCGUCUCUCAGUGUCAUCAGAAAUAGAGCUGUUAUCUAAUUCUUCAUGCUGUGUGUGUGUGUGUGUGUGUGUGUGUGUGGGAGAGAAGCACAUCGGGGCCAAAGGCCCACUGCCACAUGUGGGCUGAAUCUAUGCAAGCAUCAAUCUUUUUACAAACUCUUUUUGGUGUAAAUAAGCUCGUAAGCGUUUCUGUUCCUCUUGCUUUUGCCGUCUUUCAUCUGUUCCUGACUCUUCAUCGUGUCGCUCAUGGAUUUGUUCCUCUGUGGAAAGGGCUGUUGUUUGUCUCACACUGGCGCACUGUUAAGGCGUCUGCAGUAUUUCACAGACAGUGACUCAUUUGACUCAUUGUCUCCAGACGCAAUAUUCACUGACAGAAGCACAAGCGUGAGUCAGGUCAGACGAGUUCAGACAAACGUUUCCCAUAACCCCUCAUCACUCGUUCAUAAGCCCAUGUUUAUCAGCUGCAUGUUUAGAAGUGUUUUUAAACGCAGCAACAAUCAGCUAACAUUCUGCAUCUGUCCCUCAUUCCAGCUUAUUUUAGAUUUGACAUUUAUUCAUAUUUGCUUAAUGCUUAUUUUCCUUUUUAUUUGAUGUAUUUUCCCUGUGAAAAUGGUAUUGUAAAAUGAGUCUGUCUAGAUUUUAAGAGAAUUAAAAUUAUAGUUUGACACAAAGUCUAAGUGUCUCAUUUUUCUCUUAAAAACUAAAUGAUUUAAUAAAAUCACACAGUUUACAUGUCA
Molecule: long non-coding RNA, 3613 nt
Organism: Cyprinus carpio (common carp)
Lineage: Eukaryota; Metazoa; Chordata; Actinopteri; Cypriniformes; Cyprinidae
Source: Ensembl